UACGGGGGGAGCAAGCGUUGUUCGGAUUUACUGGGCGUAAAGGGCGCGUAGGCGGCCACCGCAAGUCGGUUGUGAAAUCUCUGGGCUUAACCCAGAAAGGUCAACCGAUACUGUGCGGCUAGAGUGCGGAAGGGGCAACUGGAAUUCUCGGUGUAGCGGUGAAAUGCGUAGAUAUCGAGAGGAACACCUGCGGCGAAGGCGGGUUGCUGGGCCGACACUGACGCUGAUGCGCGAAAGCCAGGGGAGCGAACGGG
Molecule: ribosomal RNA, 254 nt
Filed under: uncultured bacterium
Lineage: Bacteria
Description: partial 16S ribosomal RNA
Rfam family: Bacterial small subunit ribosomal RNA
Source: RNAcentral